UACGUAGGGUGCGAGCGUUGUCCGGAAUUAUUGGGCGUAAAGGGCUCGUAGGCGGUUUGUCGCGUCGGGAGUGAAAACUCGGAGCUUAACUCCGAGCCUGCUUCCGAUACGGGCAGACUAGAGGUAUGCAGGGGAGAACGGAAUUCCUGGUGUAGCGGUGAAAUGCGCAGAUAUCAGGAGGAACACCGGUGGCGAAGGCGGUUCUCUGGGCAUUACCUGACGCUGAGGAGCGAAAGUGUGGGGAGCGAACAGGAUUAGAAACCCGAUAGUCC
RNAcentral lists this ribosomal RNA (272 nucleotides) under uncultured prokaryote. Its description in RNAcentral is "partial 16S ribosomal RNA". It matches the Rfam family "Bacterial small subunit ribosomal RNA", at positions 524 to 796 of the family's 1533-position model. The record is from RNAcentral.